UUCCUGGUGGUCCAUUGGUUAGGACUCUGCUCUUUCACUGCCAAGGGCACAGGUUCAAUCCCUGGUCAGGGAA
Molecule: transfer RNA, 73 nt
Filed under: Bos taurus (domestic cattle)
Lineage: Eukaryota; Metazoa; Chordata; Mammalia; Artiodactyla; Bovidae
Also listed under: 5 other names
Rfam family: tRNA
About the family: Transfer RNA (tRNA) molecules are approximately 80 nucleotides in length. Their secondary structure includes four short double-helical elements and three loops (D, anti-codon, and T loops).
Source: Rfam by way of RNAcentral